Molecule: ribosomal RNA, 1159 nt
Filed under: metagenome
Description: bacterial SSU rRNA
Rfam family: Archaeal small subunit ribosomal RNA
Source: RNAcentral
AAAGCUUCGGCGCUUAAGGAUGAGUCGGCACCAGAUUAGGCUGUUGGUGGUGUAAUGGACCACCAAACCUACGAUCUGUAAGGGCCGUGAGAGCGGUAGCCCUGAGAAGGACACUGAGACAAGGGUCCUAGCCCUACGGGGUGCAGCAGAUGCGAAACCUUUACAAUGCGCGAAAGCGUGAUAAGGGGAUUCUACGUGCUUUCGUACUGCGAAAGCUUUUUUUGGAAUGUAAAUAGUUCUAAGAAUAAGUGGUGGGCAAGACCGGUGCCAGCCGCCGCGGUAACCCCGGCGCCACAAGUGGUGACCACAUUUAUUGGGUUUAAAGCAUCCGUAGCCUGACAAUUAAGUUUUUAGUGAAACUUAGCAGCUUAACUGUUAAGCGUGCUAGAAAUACUAAUUGUCUAGAGACCGGAAGGAGUUAGGAGUAUUCCUAGGGUAGCGGUAAAAUGUUCUAAUCCUAGGAGGACUAUCGGUGGCGAAGGCGCCUAACUAGAACGGGUCUGACGGUGAGGGAUGAAAGCUAGGGGAGCAAACAGGAUUAGAUACCCUGGUAGUCCUAGCUGUAAACGCUGCUCGUUUAGUGUUGCAUAUUUUUAGGAAAUAUGCAGCGCUGGAGUGAAAAUGUUAAACGAGCCACCUGGGAAGUACGGUCGCAAGGCUGAAACUUAAAGGAAUUGGCGGGGGAGCACCACAAGGGGCGAAUGCUGCGGUUUAAUUGGAUUCUACGCCGGGAACCUCACCAGAGGCGACAGCAGUAUGAAAGUCUGUCUGAAGGGCAUACUAGACGCGCUGAGAGGUGUUGCAUGGCCGUCGUCAGCUCGUGCUGUGAAGUGUUCGGUUAAGUCCGAAAACGAGCAAGACCUGCGCUUUUAGUUGCUAUUGUUCUUCCUAGAACAAGCACACUAAGGGGACCGCAUGCGUUAAGCAUGAGGAAGGUGCAGGCUACGAUAGGUCUGUACGACCCGAAUCCUCUGGGCUACACGCGGCAUGCAUUGGUUAGGACAAUAGGCUGCGACUCCGAAAGGAGAAGCUAAUCUUUAAACCUAACCUUGUUCGAAUUGAGGUUUGCAACCCAACCUCAUGAAGCCGAAGUCCCUAGUAACCGUGCAUUAGCAUUGUGCGGUGAAUACGUCCCUGCUCCUUGCACACACUGCCUGUC